AUUAUAUCAACUGAUAGUUUUAUCAUUUUUAAGGUUGAUUUUUGGUGAUCGUGAGAUUAUCACAAAAAUGUGAAGACCAGAAUAAAAUCAUUCAUAAUCCUACUAACCAGAAAUAAUCAAUAGUAACUUUUAAGUUAUUCCCUCUUGAUAUGUAUAGUUCUUUAUGGCUUUUUCUAUCUAAAAGUAUAUUAUAAGCAUUUACUUAUAUUACAUUGAAAUUCUUUUCAUAAUGGAUGUACUGGAAUCUACAUAAUCAAUUUCCUAAUUUAGACAUUAAGAUUCUUCUAAUCUCCACAGGAAAUAUUUUUUGUAAGCCUUUGUCUGCAUUUCUGAUCAGUGCCUAAGGAUAAAUUCCUAAAAGUUAAAUUAUUGGAUCAAUCUCAUGCAUUCAUUGCUGUGUAACAAACCACUUUAAAACUUACUGACACUUAUUAAUAUUAAAUAUUGGCAUUUUUAAAACCCUCUACUUAUUUACUGGUAGGUAAAAUAUGAGAUCUCAUUGUCUUACUUUGAAUUUGCUUAUUAGUGAACUUGCCUAUGCUUGAUAGAGUUCAUAUUUCUAUGUGAAUUGUCUAUUCAUUUGGGGGACUAAUUUGUUCAUGCUAAACGACCUUAUAGAAUUACAUGAGUUAUUUAUGAAUUACUUUAAGAGAAUGUGCCAUAUUUGUUAUAUACAU
RNAcentral lists this long non-coding RNA (677 nucleotides) under Marmota monax (woodchuck). Lineage: Eukaryota; Metazoa; Chordata; Mammalia; Rodentia; Sciuridae. The record is from RNAcentral.